GUAACACGUGGAUAACCUACCUAUAAGACUGGGAUAACUUCGGGAAACCGGAGCUAAUACCGGAUAAUAUAUUGAACCGCAUGGUUCAAUAGUGAAAGACGGUUUUGCCGUCACUUAUAGAUGGAUCCGCGCCGCAUUAGCUAGUUGGUAAGGUAACGGCUUACCAAGGCAACGAUGCGUAGCCGACCUGAGAGGGUGAUCGGCCACACUGGAACUGAGACACGGUCCAG
This 230-nucleotide ribosomal RNA is filed under the name uncultured Staphylococcus sp. RNAcentral's name for it is "partial 16S ribosomal RNA". It matches the Rfam family "Bacterial small subunit ribosomal RNA", at positions 110 to 334 of the family's 1533-position model. The record is from RNAcentral. Lineage: Bacteria; Bacillati; Bacillota; Bacilli; Caryophanales; Staphylococcaceae.